UACAGGGGGUGCAAGCGUUGUUCGGAAUUAUUGGGCGUAAAGCGCGUGUAGGCGGACCACUAAGUCUGGUGUGAAAUCCCUCGGCUCAACUGAGGACGUGCAUUGGAUACUGGAGGUCUUGAGUCCUGGAGAGGGUAGCGGAAUUCCCAGUGUAGAGGUGAAAUUCGUAGAUAUUGGGAGGAACACCGGUGGCGAAGGCGGCUACCUGGACAGUGACUGACGCUGAGACGCGAAAGCAUGGGGAGCGAACAGG
RNAcentral lists this ribosomal RNA (253 nucleotides) under uncultured bacterium. Its description in RNAcentral is "partial 16S ribosomal RNA". It matches the Rfam family "Bacterial small subunit ribosomal RNA", at positions 524 to 776 of the family's 1533-position model. The record is from RNAcentral.